CCUCAUGCGCAGCAUUGUCUGCAGUGAGUCGUAGAGUUUUCUCCUUCAUUUUCACAAGUUCCAUUAGCAUGUUUGUGCCAAAGCCUCCUGGAGCAGCUCUGCUCCUUGCUCCAGCAUCAUCCUGUCGCCAGAGUUUUGCAGGCCUGCCCAAUAUCGUACUAAAAAGGAAUAAGCAUAACAUAUGAAUUCAGCAGGGAAUCUCACGAGCUUUUUAUCGAAACAAGCUUGACUGCGAAUCUUCCAUAUAGCUCAGCAUAUAGCUGCAAGCCCAACAAUUUCAAUAUUAGGGCGACUAUUGCCAAUAAAUUUAGCAAUACAGUCAAAAUAGUGGGAGAAAAACCAGGACUAGUUUGAGCACAAACAAAUUUUGCAGCAGAGCACUGGAAGAAUAGAUGGUGAAUACUCUCAGAUUCAGUCAUUCAGAACAAGAAUUGACACACAGGGUUCCAUGUCCAUUUUCUUUUUACCCUAUUGUCCUAAUAGGCUACAUGCUGGAAAGAAAUCAGCUUCGUUACUUUGGCAUGUGAAAUGCAGUUACAAUGCUCUAGCAUCUACCACAGUUGACUGCCUAGAGCAUAGGGAAGAGAAUCCAUUGGGGCAUGAUCACUAAUAACUCGCAGCGUCGAGGGAAGCAAAUCGUUGACUCGGACAUCACGAAUUUUGUAACUGAACUUGAAGUUAACUUGAGCUCCUGACCAUGUGAUGGCAUAGGAUUCUGAAACUGAACACCGACCAGAUCCAUGGCAGCACCACACAACACAUGGAGCCAAAAGUUACGGGGGCCUCCAAGUAUGCAGAACUCUACUAGGAGAUGCAGAACUCUACAACUACUAGGAGAAGAUAACCGAAUUACCCUAUGAAAAUGAACCAGACAAGUCUUGAGUGCUUGUAGCAUAGUCAAGACAAACCUGCUACACUACGUCCAAAGCACAGUCAAAACUGACAAACCCCUUGGCGAAUCUGCUGAUGGACUAGAAACUGAAAAACGUAACAGUUCAACCAGAAGAAGAGACGCGCUUUACAUAACAGGGCAUUUGCAUUGGCAAUAGCUGAACAUACCAUAUCUCAUGACAAAGAAAUGACUAAAUUUGGUUAGAACUAACAGUUCACAUCAACUCUCAAUUGGUUUAGAACUUCAAAGUACACAAAAACUGAUGUAUUGCAUACCAGCCAUAUUAAGUGCUUCAAAACUAAAUUGAUGAAUCUGAAGCUAGGACACAUCACACAUCAGGCAGGUACAGUUUCGAGGAUUUCCAGCUGCUCAUAUAUGACAAAAAACAAGAUAUCGUCCUACCCAACUACCACCAAUGGCAAUGCAAAUAGGGAAGCAAAAUAAUUGGCUCAGAGGGACGACCAUAUCCUACUGAAGAAGAACCAAUAAGCACAUGACGAAUAUCUUUUAGGGAAGUGAAGUGUACACUUGCGACAAAUGAAAAUCCUAGCUGUUUUACCGAUAACAAAUGCAACCUCUGUACACUAGCAUAAGACGUUUUAACAGUUCAAUUUGAAACGUCUUACCUUAGUUUACAGAGGGAGUAAAUAGGAAACCUGUCAGGAACCUGACAA
This 1566-nucleotide long non-coding RNA is filed under the name Triticum aestivum (bread wheat). RNAcentral's name for it is "long non-coding RNA (TAES_LNC002157)". The record is from RNAcentral. Lineage: Eukaryota; Viridiplantae; Streptophyta; Magnoliopsida; Poales; Poaceae.